Molecule: ribosomal RNA, 468 nt
Filed under: uncultured bacterium
Lineage: Bacteria
Description: partial 16S ribosomal RNA
Rfam family: Bacterial small subunit ribosomal RNA
Source: RNAcentral
GACGAACGCUGGCGGCGUGCUUAACACAUGCAAGUCGAACGGAAAGGCCCUGCUUUUGUGGGGUGCUCGAGUGGCGAACGGGUGAGUAACACGUGAGUAACCUGCCCUUGACUUUGGGAUAACUUCAGGAAACUGGGGCUAAUACCGGAUAGGAGCUCCUGCUGCAUGGUGGGGGUUGGAAAGUUUCGGCGGUCGGGGAUGGACUCGCGGCUUAUCAGCUUGUUGGUGGGGUAGUGGCUUACCAAGGCUUUGACGGGUAGCCGGCCUGAGAGGGUGACCGGCCACAUUGGGACUGAGAUACGGCCCAGACUCCUACGGGAGGCAGCAGUGGGGAAUAUUGCACAAUGGGCGGAAGCCUGAUGCAGCAACGCCGCGUGCGGGAUGACGGCCUUCGGGUUGUAAACCGCUUUCGCCUGUGACGAAGCGUGAGUGACGGUAAUGGGUAAAGAAGCACCGACUAACUACGUG